RNAcentral lists this ribosomal RNA (206 nucleotides) under uncultured bacterium. RNAcentral's name for it is "partial 16S ribosomal RNA". It matches the Rfam family "Bacterial small subunit ribosomal RNA", at positions 568 to 774 of the family's 1533-position model. The record is from RNAcentral.
CACGUAGGCGGACCGGAAAGUUGGGGUGAAAUCCCGGGGCUCAACCCCGGAACUGCCUUCAAAACUAUCGGUCUGGAGUUCGAGAGAGGUGAGUGGAAUUCCGAGUGUAGAGGUGAAAUUCGUAGAUAUUCGGAGGAACACCAGUGGCGAAGGCGGCUCACUGGCUCGAUACUGACGCUGAGGUGCGAAAGCGUGGGGAGCAAACA